AUGCCCUACGAUGAGCGGUACACACCCUACAUCCAGCAGGCAAGACUCCUCCCGUGGAUUCAGUUGGUCAGCCGGUCCACGCCGAACCUCAGCGCUCCACUAGUGUCCUCUCUUGCUGAUCGGUGGAGGCCGGAGAUGCACAGUUUCCAUCUUCGGACUGGGGAUAUGAUCGUGACGCUCGAGGAUGUCGCCUUGAUCACCGGGCUUCCUAUCGACGGGAGGCCUCUAUGUAUGAGCACCAAUUCUAAUGGGUGGCGCGAGAAGAUUAUUGCUCUUAUCGGUAUGGCUCUGAAAGUGCAACUAUCCCUAGAUGGUUUUGGUAAUUCCUAA
Molecule: ribosomal RNA, 330 nt
Filed under: Triticum aestivum (bread wheat)
Lineage: Eukaryota; Viridiplantae; Streptophyta; Magnoliopsida; Poales; Poaceae
Description: partial small subunit ribosomal RNA
Source: RNAcentral